CGAGCGGUAAGGCCUUUCGGGGUACACGAGCGGCGAACGGGUGAGUAACACGUGGGUGAUCUGCCCUGCACUCUGGGAUAAGCUUGGGAAACUGGGUCUAAUACCGGAUAUGACUACAGCAUGCAUGUGUUGUGGUGGAAAGAUUUAUCGGUGCAGGAUGGGCCCGCGGCCUAUCAGCUUGUUGGUGGGGUAAUGGCCUACCAAGGCGACGACGGGUAGCCGACCUGAGAGGGUGACCGGCCACACUGGGACUGAGACACGGCCCAGACUCCUACGGGAGGCAGCAGUGGGGAAUAUUGCACAAUGGGCGGAAGCCUGAUGCAGCGACGCCGCGUGAGGGAUGAAGGCCUUCGGGUUGUAAACCUCUUUCAGCAGGGACGAAGCGUGAGUGACGGUACCUGCAGAAGAAGCACCGGCUAACUACGUGCCAGCAGCCGCGGUAAUACGUAGGGUGCGAGCGUUGUCCGGAAUUACUGGGCGUAAAGAGUUCGUAGGCGGUUUGUCGCGUCGUUUGUGAAAACCCGGGGCUCAACUUCGGGCUUGCAGGCGAUACGGGCAGACUUGAGUGUUUCAGGGGAGACUGGAAUUCCUGGUGUAGCGGUGAAAUGCGCAGAUAUCAGGAGGAACACCGGUGGCGAAGGCGGGUCUCUGGGAAACAACUGACGCUGAGGAACGAAAGCGUGGGUAGCAAACAGGAUUAGAUACCCUGGUAGUCCACGCCGUAAAC
This 727-nucleotide ribosomal RNA is filed under the name Rhodococcus sp. YIM 64625. Its description in RNAcentral is "bacterial SSU rRNA". It matches the Rfam family "Bacterial small subunit ribosomal RNA", at positions 63 to 807 of the family's 1533-position model. Lineage: Bacteria; Bacillati; Actinomycetota; Actinomycetes; Mycobacteriales; Nocardiaceae. The record is from RNAcentral.